This 251-nucleotide ribosomal RNA is filed under the name uncultured bacterium. Its description in RNAcentral is "partial 16S ribosomal RNA". It matches the Rfam family "Bacterial small subunit ribosomal RNA", at positions 87 to 339 of the family's 1533-position model. The record is from RNAcentral.
AUGGAUUAGUGGCGAACGGGUGAGGAACACGCGAGAAACCUGCCUUUCAUUCUGGGAUAACACCGGGAAACCGGCGCUAAUACCGGAUACUCCAUCUUGGCGGCAUCGCCGAGCUGGGAAAAAAUUUUGAUGAAAGAUGGUCUCGCGGCCUAUCAGCUAGUUGGUGAGGUAAAGGCUCACCAAGGCGACGACGGGUAGCCGGCCUGAGAGGGCGACCGGCCACACUGGGACUGAGACACGGCCCAGACUCC